Dermacentor silvarum is the source of this 693-nucleotide long non-coding RNA. RefSeq lists it as uncharacterized. NCBI's taxonomy places the organism in Eukaryota, Metazoa, Arthropoda, Arachnida, Ixodida, Ixodidae. The record is from RefSeq and is a predicted model, not a curated record. The transcript has 4 exons.
AUUCGGAAAACUCAAUAAUAUGGACCGUAGAUACGACGGCCAACACAAGUAUCUUUUGUAAAGUUGAUCUGGUGAACAAAACCACUGAAAAUUACACCGAUUUCUUAAGAUUGUAUUUCUAUGGGGAAAACCUCACCAAGACCUACCUAGAAGGAAAGUUCUUGAAACUUGACUUUCUGAGGCAAGGUAAAAACGUGUAUGAUGCAAUGAUGGUUGGCCCCAAAGGAGGCUUAACCACGUCGAUUGAGCAGCUACAGGACGUGUACGGAAAUUAUACCUGCGGCAUCUUCAAGGUAUCGCUACCUUGGAGGGAUGAUUUUCACUAUGAAGUUCGUGUCAAGAAUUCGACCAUUGAACAUCCAAACGCAAGUUGUGUGAACGAAUUUAAGCGUCUUUCGCAAGGAAAGCACAGAACCUUGUAUAACGAUUCUUGUCAGCACACUUGAUCGAAUUGAGAAGACAGUAAUAUUAAAAUAUAUCUAAAACCGGACGAUAGACAACCAUGAAAUCGGCCUGCAGACAUCAGUAAUAUUCAUUUACAGUAUAUGGGAGUAAAAAUAUUCGCCUUUGUAUAGAUCAGAUAUGGCAGAUUUAAUGCUAAGAUAAAUUUCUCGAUUUCCUUCUUUUUUUAAGAUAGAUCUUUAUAGGUUCUACAAAUUAUCGUCUUAGAAAUAAUAAAAGUUCGCUGACUUC